Molecule: ribosomal RNA, 448 nt
Filed under: uncultured bacterium
Lineage: Bacteria
Description: SSU rRNA
Rfam family: Bacterial small subunit ribosomal RNA
Source: RNAcentral
AGAACGAACGCUGGCGGCAGGCUUAACACAUGCAAGUCGAACGCGUGUAGCAAUACACGAGUGGCGCACGGGUGAGUAACGCGUGGAUAUCUGCCUUUUGGUUCGGAAUAACCCCGGGAAACUGGGGCUAAUACCGGAUGGUUCCUACGGGAUAAAGAUUUAUCGCCAAAAGAUGAGUCCGCGUCCGAUUAGCUAGUUGGUGGGGUAAUGGCCUACCAAGGCGACGAUCGGUAGCUGGUCUGAGAGGACGAUCAGCCACACUGGGACUGAGACACGGCCCAGACUCCUACGGGAGGCAGCAGUGGGGAAUAUUGGACAAUGGGGGCAACCCUGAUCCAGCCAUGCCGCGUGAGUGAUGAAGGCCUUCGGGUUGUAAAGCUCUUUUGGCGGGGACGAUGAUGACGGUACCCGCAGAAUAAGCCCCGGCUAACUUCGCGUCAGCAGCCGC